This is a long non-coding RNA of Gossypium raimondii (Peruvian cotton), 6421 nucleotides long. RefSeq lists it as uncharacterized. The record is from RefSeq and is a predicted model, not a curated record. The transcript is spliced from 3 exons. Lineage: Eukaryota; Viridiplantae; Streptophyta; Magnoliopsida; Malvales; Malvaceae.
CCAAAACCCUAAUUAGAAAGCCUUUAGUUCUCCUUCAAAACAACAGCCACAACAAACAUUUAAAAAAAAAUAAUUGCUCUGAUAAGGCUCUUUUAACCCAUUUUGCGCCGCCGUUCGUGCCAACGCUCCGAUUGCGACGGAGAUGGCAACCAUCCGGCGGCUUUGACGAAAGAGGUAAGAUCCCUUUCUUUUCUUUAUUAUUUUAAAUGAAAUAAAACGAAAAUAAAAGAGAAUAAAACAAUAUAUAUGUAAAAAACGAUGGACACUACAAAGCAAAACAAAGAAGAAAUCACCUAUGCAAAAACAAGUUUGAUCUCUCUAUUUUCUCUCUAUUUCUUUGCAUAUAUUUUCGACUGAAUCCCCCACUUUACAGAUUUUCGAUCGGUUUAUAUAACCGAAAUAAAGAAAAAUAAAAUAAAAUCCAAACGAAAAUCCUUAUUUCCUAUUAUUGUUGCGCUGUUAUUUUUUGUUAUUUCCUUCUUUCUCUUUGCUAUUUGUUUGUUGCUGCAGAUGUGUGCACGACGUGCGUAGGGGAGAGUCAUGCUGCGACAUUCGCGGCGGCGAGGGUAAGGCUGUUGUUGGGAUAUGCGGCUAAGGCUGGAAGCUACUAGGGUUUUUUUGUGUGUGUGUGUUUUAGGCUAAUGGGUUGGGUCUAUUGAAAGGUAUUGGGCUAGGGUUAAUUUUAUUGGGCCUGGGUGUUAUAUUUAUUUUGGGUUUUAGACUGGGCCUGGACAAAUAAUUGGUGUUACAGAAGUCUUACAAUAUAAUAUUGAAAUCUUACAAAUUUAAAUUACUAAUAAAUUAAUUUUAAAAUAAUUAAAAACACAAAAAUUUAAAACAUAAUUCUAAAUUACUAACAAAUUAAUUUUAAAAUAAUUAUAAAAAGUAAAAAAAUUUACAUUCAUACAAAAUACUAAUCAAAACUAUAAACACUAAACAUAAAUAAUUUAUAAUUAAUAAUUAAUAACAAAAAAAUCACAAUAUCUUAAUUAAACUCUUUAAAUUGUAAACAAAAUUAUUUACUAAAAUAAUACAUUACCUUUCUUCUUCUCCUUUUUCUCUUUUCUUUCUCUUUUCCAGUUGAUACAUGGGUUUGGGGGACCAUACUUAUAAGGUCUCCCAUUUGUAAUUUUUUCCCAUUGAAGGGACAAUAGCCUGGUGGAAGGGACAACACCAUGGUGAAAGGGACAGAGGCAGUAGCAUGGGCAUUGGUGUCUAUUUGUCAGGCGCAAUUAGUGGCUCCUAUCUGACAGACGCGACCCAUUGACCCGUUUUUUACUCGUAUUUUGACCCGUUAACCGUAUUUUUACCUAUAUUUAUAUUUAAAUAUUUUUAAUAAAAAAAAUAUUUUAUUUAAACCAAAAAAGAAAAAAAAUUAAUAUAAAAAAUUCAUUCGCAGCUGUCAGAUAGGAACCGUUAAAAAAACAUACAAUUUCGGUAAUUAAUUCAUCUGACAAUUUAUUUCGAUAUUUAAUUUUUUUAAUAUAUUCCAGUAAAAAACCCGUUAUAUUUUAAUUGCUAUUUUUUAAAAUAUCUAUUUUCAUCGCAUAUUUUUUUAAGGGAAACUGGGUUAUUUUAUUUAUAAUAAUAAAAUAAUAAAAUGAACGAAAUCAGACGAUGAGGAAUAAUUCAAAUCCAAACAAAAACAAAACUGAACAAACAAAAUAAAAACAACCCAUCAAUGAGCUAGCAUCCAUUCAGAAGAGUAUUCUGAAACUCUUUCAAUCCCUAAAGCCAUAUUCAUGGUCUCUUUUCCUGUCCUAUGAGCAGUACCAUGGAAUCCAAACGACAACCUUUUAUUUCUAGUUUAAUCACGUCGUGCACCUCUCCUUCUUAUAACGGAGAUGCCUUGAAACUUCAUCGGAAACUCGAAGAAACUCAGCAACCCAUCACCGCCUCAAGUAACCCACCUUCAUUGAACCAUCCCACCCAGCCACAACCCCGGACCUCGUAACCCCACCCCUGAUAACAGCAGCCCUCAAUAACCUCCCCCACUUCCAAACCUGUCAUUUCCUUGUCCGACAACUAAACCCCCUUCCUUCCCCCCCUCCCCCCCCCCCCUCACCUUCAUACGCCUCCGAGACCCCUCUCAAGGGACUUAAUUUCAUCACCCAAUGCGAUUCUAUCAGAGACGACACCUACCAUUUCUUCCCCCUUCCUCCAUCUGCAUGCCGGACCAGUUGUUCUCCAUCGCAUCCCUCACAAAGUCCGAUACACACCCUCCCAAAUAAGUACUCCCACCCCUCAUCAACCCCUUUUUAGCUAAUAUAUGUGCAACUUUAUUUUGCAUCCCUGGGAACACGUAUGAAUAAACAUUUUUUGAAACCCUUUACUUUUAACUUUGCAUCAUAUAUAUAGGCCCUUAUAACCGACCCAUCAUCACAGCAGGAUUUCAUCUUUUUAAUCACCGACAGAGCAUCCCCUUCUAGCAUCUCCUCUUGGAUCCCUAAGUCAAUCGCCAAACUCACUGCCUAGAGACAUGUAAGAGCCUCCGCUGCAAAACCCGUAGGUAUGUGGCAGUUUACAAUUGCUCUUGAGCCUACCACUUGACCUCUCCCAUUUCUAAUAAAAAUCCCUAUAUAUGAUCUCCUAUCCUUCCCUUGAAAUGUUGAGUCAAAAUUUAUUUUAAGAAAAGGAUCCCUCAGGGGCCUCCGCCGCUCAUACUCAACCCUUCGAACAGACCAAAUAAACCAUAGAGCACAUACCACAAUUCUACAUGUAGUAAUCGGGAACGUGGAAACAAUAUGAGUAAGCCAAUCCUGCAAAGAUACAUUAGCAAUAUCAUCAGGCCAUUUCAAAUCUAACCUUCUCUAUAUUUCCUCGACAGAAAGACAUUCUCUAAAGAUAUGCUCUGAGGUCUCGACAUCUCUUGUAUAUUUUGGACACAUUGCUUAACUCCGCAGCCUCUUAUUACACAAAUUAGAGUAUCUAGGGAUGUAAUUUUUAAAAAUUUGCCAUGCUGUAAUUUUUAUUUUCUCUGGUAGAUUGAUUUGCCUGAGUUUCUUAAAGAAAUUUGUAUAAUUACCAUAAUUAUCAGUAGGCUCAAGUGAGAUAUCACUCCAGAGUAGGAUCUUAUAGCCGCUCCUUACGGUAAAAUCGUCCGACGACUCUUCCCCCCAAACUACCAUGUCCUCUUAUAGAUUCCCAACAAUAGGGAUACACCGUACCCUCUCAGCAAUCUCUUCACUCGAAUGCAUGGCCAGGAACCUAUACAUCCUCCCAAAUUCUGAUAUUAGACUUGAAGCCCACUCGCCAGCCCAACCCCAAAUUGAUCAGACCCCUUGCAGCCUAAACGCUCUUACAAGUAUAUGAUGGGUCAGUACUAGAGGUGUUCAUGGGCCGGGUGGCCGGCCCGGCCCGAUGGCUCGGCCCGGUCCGGCUGAAAUAUGGGAGGGUUUGGGUAAAAAUAUAGACCCGAAAUAUGAGCUUGGGCAAAAAAAUGAGGCCCGUUUAGAAAACGGGCCAGGCCUCGGGCACCACUUUUUGGCCCGGGCCCGGCUUGACCCGGCCCGAAUAUAAUAAAUAUAUAUUUUUUAUUUUUAAAAAUAUUUUAAAAUACUUUUUUAUUUUUAAAAUAUUUUUUUAAUUUUCUAAAUUUUUUUUUGUGUUUAUUUAAAAAAUGGGCUGGGCCGGGCCGGGCCCGGGCUUAGGAAUUUUUUCCCCGGGCCGGGCCUAGACAAAAUUCCAGGCCCAUAUUUUGGGCCGGGCCUGGGCCUAGGACUCAGGCCGAAUUUUUUUAUGGGUCCAGCCCGAACCCGGCCUUGUCCGGCCCAUGAACACCUCUAGUGACCGCGCUAAAAGAGAAUCCGGAUAUUUAUUCAAACGCCAUCCCUAUUUUGCAUGUAAGGCAAUAUUAAAAUUUUCCAAAUUAUGAGAAUCCAAACCUCCAUCCUCCUUUAGGUCAUACAACUUUGAUCACUUGCACCAAUGAAUACCCUUUUUUCCCCAUGCUUUUGCCACCAAAAUCGACUAAUAAUACGUUCUAACUCCAAGCAAAAUGAAAUUGAUAAUAAGAAACAUGACAUUGCAAAGGUAGGAAUGGCUUGCAAAACACUUUUAAUUAAAGUCUCCUUACCCCUUGCGAUAAAGGCCUAACACACCAGUUCGCAACACUUCUCAAGCGAUCCUUAAAAACUUGAAAAGCCCACCAUUUAUUUUGGCCAACCAUAUUGGGUAAACCCAAGUAUCGCUUCGGGUCAGUAGAGGAAUAGACCUCUAAACAUGCAGCUAUAUCCUCCCUACACUGUUCUUCCACAUUUGCACUGAAAUAGACAACUGAUUUAUCAAAAUUAAUACAUUGACCUGACGAAUUCUCAUAUUUUGCGAAAAUCUGCUUCAAAAUCAUAGCUCUAUUUAUCGUCACCUCCCUAAACAGAAUAUAAUCAUCUGUGAACAAUAACUGUGAGAUUUUCAGACCCUUCUAACUAAUUUUUUUCUCCCCUCACCAACUUCUACCGAAUUGUUCUUCGCAUAAGAAAAGACAACCCCUCACUACAAAUAAGAAACAAGUAGGGACUAAAGGGAUUCCCUUGCUGAAGACCCCUUAUAAGAGAAAAAUUCUUUCCCAAUUUACCAUUUAGAACCACAAAAUAAGAUACUAUACUAAUACAAUGCACAAUGAAAUCCACCCAGCUUUUCAAGAAACCCAUCUUCAACAUCAUCUUCUCUAAAAAACCCCCACUCCAUCUUGUCAUAUACCUUACUCAUAUCCAGUUUGAUUAGCUUUCCUAGAACAAAAGCGAUUUGUGCCUCAUCCACACACAAGCUCAACACUUUUUGAAAUCUAUUCACCACUGUUUUCGAAAUGAUCUUAUACAAAACAAAGCAUAAACUAAUGGGCCGAAAUUGUUGGAUUUCCAUUUUUGGGGAUAAAGACAAUAUUUGUUUUAUUUAUGUAAGCAAGAGACUUACCACCAUUUAGAACCUCAAGGCAAUAGUCUCCAACAUUCUGCCCCACUAUGUGCCAAUAGUUCUGAUAGAACAAAACUAGAAGACCAUCUGAUCUUGACGCUUUGGUUGGCGUCAUAGCUUUCAAAGCAGUAAGGAUUUCCUCCCUUUCAUAGGUAGCAUUUAGGUUAUUAUUCAUCUCGCCAGUAAUGCAUGGUUCCACUCCCUCUAAAAUAUGAUCAGAAUUCCUACAUCCCUGUGAUGUAAAUAACUGCAUGAAAUAAUCAUUAACAAUAUCAAACAACUCAUCUCUUGUCUGAAACAAUUUGCCCACAUCCUCCAAUUAAACCCUUAAUUAUAUUCAUUCUCUGCCUCAGUGACGCAAAUCGAUGGGAAAACCCGUGUUUCAGUCCCUCAUCUUCAACCAAUUCACACGUGGUCUCUGCUCCCAAUAAAGUUCUUCCUUAUCAAUUUCAAGAUUCAUUUCCAACUUUGUUCCUAAAAGAUCAGAGAUAUUCUCCUCAUCUCUAUCCCCCUCAUUGAGAUCUAUCAACCGAUUUUGCAACCCUUUAAUUUUCCCCCUUCCUCAAUCUCAAACGAGCCGCCCAACGUUUCAUUUUACAUAAUUAAAUUAUUUGUACAUAAUUCUAGACCAACACAAUAAGAAGCAUAUUGUCACCACUUAAAGACACAUUCAUUUUACAAAGAGAUAGAAAGAGUGAGAUUCACACCCUAAACAUAGUAAAGUGAGUUAAAAAUGAGUAGGGUGAUUGUUGGAUUUCUAUACAUGCUUAAGCUUAAAAAUCACUAACUCAAAAUAUAGAGAUUUUAUUUUGUAAAUUAGAUAUCUCAAGCUUAACACUAAGUGAUCAAUAUCUAUAAAAUACCUAAAAAUAAGAAGACAUUCAAUCUCUAUUCGACCCGCAAGACAUUAUGUUCCAGAAGCCAUAUAAAAAUAUCAAAAAAACAAAAACAACUAUAAAAUCUAACCAAAAUUUAAAGCAACGGUCUAACCAAAAUCCAACAAAGAAAUAUCCAAAGCCUCGAAUAUGGAAUUAGAGGUCAAUGUUACCACAUCACACACACAAACGCUCUAAACAUUCUACUUUGGAUGAUCACAAAAUCUUGUCUAUUCUGCCACUACUUAAAAGACUACACAUGAAGUCUCUCUAAACUUCGAAGGAAACUUUGCUUACAUACAUAUAAAGGCGAAAACAACUGACAAGGAAACUUCAAAAUAAGUUCACUAAGAUAAAAUAUUUUAAAAAUAAAAGGGGGUAAACUACCAAAUAGUUAUUUUUGUUUGUCUCAGGUUACAUUUUAGUCACUUAUGUUUGAAAUGUUAUAUUUUAGUCACUUACGUUAUCAUGUUAUAACAUUUUAGUCACUGAACGUUAAUUUCUGUUAACUGUGUAACGGUAAGCUCAAUGGCGUAUCUAGGGGGAUGUCAGGGGAUCCCCCCUAAAAUGGAAAAUUGUUCAUUUAAGCCCUUUAGAAAUUUUAAAAUUUUAAAUUAGUAAAAUUAAAUUUGCAC